GGAGGGGGCCAGCGUUGUUCGGAAUCAUUGGGCGUAAAGGGCGCGUAGGCGGCUGCGCAAGUCGAAAGUGAAAUCCCUCGGCUCAACCGAGGAACUGCUUUCGAUACUGCGUGGCUUGAGUCCCGGAGAGGGUGGCGGAAUUCCCAGUGUAGCGGUGAAAUGCGUAGAUACUGGGAGGAACACCGGUGGCGAAGGCGGCUACCUGGACGGGUACUGACGCUGAUGCGCGAAAGCUAGGGGAGCAAACAGGGAUUAGAUACCCUGGUAGUCCUAGCUGUAAACGAUGAGCACUUGGUGUUGCGGGUAUGACCCCCUGCAGUGCCGAAGCUAACGCAUUAAGUGCUCCGCCCUGGGAGUACGGUCGCAAGGCUG
Molecule: ribosomal RNA, 372 nt
Filed under: uncultured organism
Description: partial 16S ribosomal RNA
Rfam family: Bacterial small subunit ribosomal RNA
Source: RNAcentral